Molecule: transfer RNA, 74 nt
Filed under: Trieres regia
Lineage: Eukaryota; Bacillariophyta; Thalassiosirophyceae; Eupodiscales; Parodontellaceae
Description: Odontella regia tRNA-Ala
Rfam family: tRNA
About the family: Transfer RNA (tRNA) molecules are approximately 80 nucleotides in length. Their secondary structure includes four short double-helical elements and three loops (D, anti-codon, and T loops). Further hydrogen bonds mediate the characteristic L-shaped molecular structure. tRNAs have two regions of fundamental functional importance: the anti-codon, which is responsible for specific mRNA codon recognition, and the 3' end, to which the tRNAs corresponding amino acid is attached (by aminoacyl-tRNA synthetases). tRNAs cope with the degeneracy of the genetic code in two manners: having more than one tRNA (with a specific anti-codon) for a particular amino acid; and 'wobble' base-pairing, i.e. permitting non-standard base-pairing at the 3rd anti-codon position.
Source: RNAcentral
GGGAACAUAACUCAACUUGGUAGAGUGUUUGUUUUGCGUACAAAAAGUUAUCGGUUCAAGUCCGAUUGUUUCCA